ACAGGCUCUGGUUUGGACUGUGUUCCUGUCGUCUAAAUAAACCUUCUGUGUUACUGGCUGCCUGAGAGUCCUGGUGAAAUGCAGGAAGCCGGGGGCGCAGGGCCUGGUUCCCCCCACCCGACUCCGUGACAGCUCCUUGUGUCAGCACUGUGCGGACUCACGAGGAUUGCUUGUGUCUGUGCACGGGGCUGUACGCCAUGGGCCGGGCCCAGCGAGCAAACUGCCACUGUCCAGUGUAACGUAGUGUAGACAGUGCAUGGUGGGACAGAAAUGAGAGCACGAGUGUGACGAUGUGGUUCUGGUGGGACCCAACUGAGAGUGCCAAUUCAGGACCAAUCGCUCAA
Non-coding RNA from Chelonoidis abingdonii (Abingdon island giant tortoise), 344 nucleotides. The record is from RefSeq and is a predicted model, not a curated record. Lineage: Eukaryota; Metazoa; Chordata; Testudines; Testudinidae.